UAUUUAUUUGAGUUGGGGCUGCUGGCACACUCCCGUCAAUUUAUUUGAGUUCCCGUCAAUUCCUUUGAGUUGGCGGCUGCUGGCACAUCACUACCGCGGCUGCUGGCACACUGGCUUGUUGCGGCGCUCCCGUCAAUUCAUUUGAGUUGCGGCUGCUGGCACCCCCGUCAAUUCAUUUGAGUUGCGGCUGCUGGCACACGUCCCGUCAAUUUCUUUGAGUUACCGCGGCUGCUGGCACACGGGCUUGUUGCGGCUGCUGGCACAUACCCCGUCAAUUCCUUUGAGUUGGCGGCUGCUGGCACA
This 303-nucleotide ribosomal RNA is filed under the name uncultured Gammaproteobacteria bacterium. Its description in RNAcentral is "partial 16S ribosomal RNA". Lineage: Bacteria; Pseudomonadati; Pseudomonadota; Gammaproteobacteria. The record is from RNAcentral.